Molecule: long non-coding RNA, 6507 nt
Organism: Ictalurus punctatus (channel catfish)
Lineage: Eukaryota; Metazoa; Chordata; Actinopteri; Siluriformes; Ictaluridae
Exons: 2
Source: RefSeq, a predicted model, not a curated record
GAGAGAGGGCACUUCUAAAAAUAAGAGCCUUUUGGAGGAGAAGAAGGAGAAGGGGAGUGAAAGAGAAAGACUUUGACUUUUUUUUUUUCUAAAGGCCUUUAAUUAACCUCUUUUUAGGAAGAAACUCGGAGCAGUUUUGAGAAGCACACUUUAUUAAAAGCUGGAGGACUGAAAGAGCGAGAGAGGGAGGGAGGGAGAGAGAGAGAGAGAGAGAGAGCGGUAAAACGAAUGGAAUUUAUGCUCAGUCAUGUUUGUCGUCCGCUUUUGUCCUGAAACCUCAGAACCUCCUCGGCUUUUAACAUUCACGGCGGCAUUUUAAGUGCUGCUUGACUUUCAGAUGUGAUUAGAUAGCCUGUGUGUGUGUGUGUGUGUGUGUGUGUGAGAGAGUGAGAGUGAGACGGCAUGGCGUUUUCAGAUUUCAGGUCUAAGGGACUUGAGGAGGUGGAGGAGUCGAUGUGAAGAGAGUGAGACAGAAGAAAUGCAGGAUGAAGAGAGAGUUCUUUUCUUUUUUUUUUUUCCUUUUCUUUUCCCUCCCACACGCCCCACACCCACUGUGGACAUGGGGAGGUCGGGGGGGGGGAUGAUGAGGGAAAGAAGUGAGAGAAAGAGUGAGAAUCGGUGGAGGGGGCUAACGAGAACCAUCUGUAGAAAUCUGACACUUAGAGCGAGAUUGAGAGAGGGAGAGGGAAAGAGGGAGGGAGAGAGAGAGAGAGAGAGAGCGCAAAAAUUUAUGAAGGAUAACAAAGAAAGCCAUAGAUGACUUUAGCUGCUGAUGCUCCGUGCCAGGUUUCUGUUUGGUCAGUGAGUGUUGUUCACGCUCUCUAUCGGUGGAAGGAAAGAAAAGGAAAGGAAAGAGAGCGAAAGAAUGCCAAGAAGCGAGAAAGGAAGGAAGGUAGGAAGUAAGGAAGGACGGACGUACGGACGAGUGAAUGAAAUGAAGGAAGACAUGGAAAGAGGAGCGCUCUCUGUAUUGAUGCUUUGGCAAUGUAGAAAGAAAGAAAGAAAUGAGAGCCAACUGAAGUAAGGAAAGAAGGGAGAGAGUUGUGGGGGGGGGUGAAGAAUGUAGUGAAAGAAAGGUAAGAUCAUGAAGGAAGAGUGAAACGAAGGAAGGAAGGAAGAGAGCGGGAGGUAGGAAGUCUAAGGAAGGACGACUGAAAGGAAGGAGGAGAGCAAAAGGAAGAAGAGAGUGAAGGAUGGAAGGGAGCGAGAGAUAGAAAGAAAAGGAAAGAGAGCCGGUGGAAUGGAGGAAAGGAGGAGGAGAGCGGGGGGGGGGGGGGGGGGGGGUAAAGAAUAUAGUGAAAGAGAAGUUGUUGAAAGAAGAGGAUGGAAGGAAGAGAAAAAGGAAGGAAGGAAGAGGAUAUAAGAAAGGAGAGAAGAUAUUGAAAGAGGUGACGGAACAAGAAAAGGAAGGGGGCGGAAGGAUGGAUGAAAUGAGGGAAGAACGACAGGCACGGAUCUGUUUAAUAAAUAGAUAAUAGUUAGGACAGAGAGUUAGAAGUGUUGUGUAAAGGUGUGUGUGUGUGUGUGUGUGUGUGUUUCAUCAGGUGUCUGAACGUUCGCUCUGUUUAAGGCGGCCCCGAGUUCCCCCCUGCACAGUUCCUUUAUCUUAACCCCCAUACCUCCUUAAACUUCAUCACAGAGUCAGUUCUCUCACCUGCUUUAUCUGGUUAUUCACUUCCAGAGUAAAAAGAGAGAGAGAGAGAGAGAGAGAGAGAGAGAGAGAAGGAAUACUUACAUCCGCUCUAACGUAAGCGAGAGCAGGACGUUAAAACGCAGCUGUUUACGGAUAAAUAAAGAAAUGCAGGCGUAGCUGGUGUUGUAUAAGAGGAAUAAAACACUGCGUACAGAACAGAAGUCGUCCGUAUAUCGCCGUAGAUUCGUUUCCUGUAGUGUUCUAUUCUUUAUUUAUCCUUUAAUCAAGCGGAGGAUCGUUGCUUUGUUAAAAAAAAAAAAAAAAAAAAGUUUUAUUUCGCGUAAUUAGCGUCAUUUCUAUUCGGAUCACGAAUAGAAUAUGUCCGACGCCGGCCGGCCAAUCAGAGUACUUCCUGUGUUUCAGUGUGGAAUUUCUGUGUGUCCGACGGUGCAGGAGGUAAAAGUGUUUCCCAAAUGGUGUUAUUGUUACCCACAGUGUGUGGGUGAGUGUGAGCGUGUCAGUGUUUAUCGUGUUUUCCUAACACCUUCGAGAGGCGUGUCCGUCAAGCUGGUUUAGCAAUCACGGCGCAACAAAGGCGCGACAAACGUCAAAAAGAAUGCGCGGUUACGAGCCGGUCAUGUGCUGCUGUGAUUAAACCCGAGGCCUCCCGCGUCUUUAACGGACCGGAGCUAACGCGGCCAAUAAAACCAGUUAGUCACAAAAGGGAAAGUUCUUCCCUGAUAGAAGGGGGGGGGGUGUUCGCACCCUGCAGUGGGACAGGGCGGCUUGACACACACACACACACACACACACACACACACACACGGAGACAAGAACCGUCAUGCUCAUAUACUCGGACUAAUCUUGAACAGACUAAUUAUGUCACGCUUCGGAUUUUUCAGUGUUAAGAUCUUCUCGUGUGUGUGUGUGUUUCGAGUGUAGGGGUGCCAGAACUUUUUAGCAACACAAAGUCCCAGGAUAAAUCCUUGUUUAUAUGAAAGGACUCAUCCGCAGAACCUUUUGAUUUUUUUUUUAUUCCCCUGUAAAGUUGAGUGUGUAGUCUCUCUCUCUCUGUCUGUCUGUCUGUCUCUCUAUCUCGCGCUCUGUGUUCUGUCUGUCUCUCUCUGUCUCUCUGUCUCUCUUUCUCACACACACACACACACACGUCCAUGUUGUUGGCAUUACAAUGUAUAUGGAUUGUUAAUAAUGCCAUGCCCCGCCCCCUAACCGUAAACUCCACCUCACCUUACAAAAAGAGAAGAAAAAAAAAAAAAGAGUAAGUUCUCUUAAAAACGCGUGCCUGUAUUUCUCUCGCCGCGGGGACGUUUGCACGUCGCUGAAGGCUACGAAUACUAGACACGCAGAUAAAACUACCGUGCCAGGCGUACAAGUAAAUUCCGAAGGUCUCCGACGCGUCGCGUAAGAGCGGAAGAAAAGAAACGGUGGUGUGAUUUUAUUCCGAAGACGCGGUUUUCGGUGUCACGCUGACGAUUCAGCGGAGCGGGUUCAGGCUGUGAGAGAACCAGCCCGAAACGUCCGAUUAAAAAUAAACACGACGCACGAACAGCUGGCGCUGCGGAGGCCCGCCGUCUGAGGUGUUAAAGUCGCCUUCGUUUUAUUUUAUGUCAUCCAGCGGUUACUGAUGUUUUGAUGGCACGCUAGUCUUCUUUCUGUUCCUCUUUUGUAUCGCUUGUUUUUUUCCCCCUCUGUCGGUGUCUCUGGGCUUCUAAAGUAAUACUCGAGUGAGACUCGCUUGCUCUACCCUUUGUACGAGAGCGCUUGAGUAAUACCGGCGGAAACGAACGUCAUCGCUAUUAAUGACUCGGGGCGGGGGUCGGGGGAUGGGGGGAGAGCGAGAGUGAGGGGCGGAGAGACUGAGAGAGAUACAAGUGAGGGGUGGAUAGAGACACUGAGGGACAGAGAGUUGUUGAUAUUUAUCAUGCCGGUAAAGCAACCUUUUGACUUUGAGUUGAGAGAGAGAGACGAGUAAGAGACCGGAGGGGGAGAGAGAGCUAGAGAGAUGUGAGAGACAAGGAGGGGGGGGGAGCUUUGAGUCAGGGACAGAGAGGGAGAUGGAGAGAUACGAGUGAGGGAUGGAGAGAGAGACUGAGGGGCAGGGAGGGAGGGAGAAAGAGAGAUACGAGUGAGCGAAGGAGAGAGACAGAAAAGGAACGUGAGGGAGAGAGAUAUGAGUGAGGGAUGGAGAGAGACACUAAGGGACGGAGAGGGACAGCGAGAGAGAGAGAUACAAGUGAGGGACUGAGAGAAAGAGACACAGAGGGAGACUGAGAGAGAUACGAGUGAGGGAUGGAGAGAGACACUGAGGGACAGAGAGGGAGAGAGAUACAGAGAAAGGUGAGUGAGAGACAAAGAGAGAGGAGUGUGAGACAGACAAAAGUGAGACAGAUUAGAGGAUGGAGGGAGAAAGAGAGACAGGAGAGUGAGACAGAUUAGAGGAUGGAGGGAGAAAGAGAGACAGGAGAGUGAGACAGAUUAGAGGAUGGAGGGAGAGAGAGACAGAAGAGAGUGAGACAGAUUAGAGGAUGUAGGGAGAGAGAGAGAGAGACAAAGAGAGGCCGAGGAGAGUGAGACAGAUUAGAGGAUUGGGGGAGAGAAAGAGAGACAGAGGAGUGUGAGACAGGAGAGUGAGACAUAUUAGAGGAUGGAGGGAGAAAGAGAGACAGAGGAGAGUGAGACAGAUUAGAGGAUGGAGAGAGAGAGACAGAGGAGAGUGAGACAGAUUAGAGGAUGUAGGGAGAGAGAGAGAGACAGAAGAGAGUGAGACAGAUUAGAGGAUGUAGGGAGAGAGAGAGACAGAGGAGAGUGAGACAGAUUAGAGGAUUGAGGGAGAGAAAGAGAGACAGAGGAGUGUGAGACAGGAGAGUGAGACAGAUUAGAGGAUGGAGAGUGAGACAGAUUAGAGGAUGUAGGGAGAGAGAGAGAGACAGAAGAGAGUGAGACAGAUUAGAGGAUGUAGGGAGAGAGAGACAGAGGAGAGUGAGACAGAUUAGAGGAUUGAGGGAGAGAAAGAGAGACAGAGGAGUGUGAGACAGGAGAGUGAGACAGAUUAGAGGAUGGAGAGAGAGACAGAGGAGAGUGAGACAGAUUAGAGGAUGUAGGGAGAGAGAGAGAGACAGAAGAGAGUGAGACAGAUUAGAGGAUGUAGGGAGAGAGAGAGACAGAGGAGAGUGAGACAGAUUAGAGGAUAUAGGGAGAGAGAGACAGAGGAGAGUGAGACAGAAGAGAGGAUGUAGGGGGAGAGAGACAGAACAGAGAGAGAGAGACAGAUUAGAGGAUGUAGGAAGAGAGAGAGAGACAGGGGAGAGUGAGACAGAAGAGAGGAUGUAGGGGGAGAGAGAGAGACAGGGGAGAGUGAGACAGAAGAGAGGAUGUAGGGGGAGAGAGAGAGACAGGGGAGAGUGAGACAGAAGAGAGGAUGUAGGGGGAGAGAGGGAGAGAGACAGGGGAGAGUGAGACAGAAGAGAGGAUGUAGGGGGAGAGAGACAGGGGAGAGUGAGACAGAAGAGAGGAUGUAGGGGGGGAGAGAGAGAGACAGGGGAGAGUGAGACAGAAGAGAGGAUGUAGGGGGAGAGAGAGAGACAGGGGAGAGUGAGACAGAAGAGAGGAUGUAGGGGGAGAGAGAGUGACAGGGGAGAGUGAGACAGAAGAGAGGAUGUAGGGGGAGAGAGAGAGAGACAGGGGAGAGUGAGACAGAAGAGAGGAUGUAGGGGGAGAGAGAGAGACAGGGGAGAGUGAGACAGAAGAGAGGAUGUAGGGGGAGAGAGAGAGACAGGGGAGAGUGAGACAGAAGAGAGGAUGUAGAGGGAGAGAGAGAGACAGGGGAGAGUGAGACAGAAGAGAGGAUGUAGGGGGGAGAGAGAGACAGGGGAGAGUGAGACAGAAGAGAGGAUGUAGGGGGGAGAGACAGACAGGGGAGAGUGAGACAGAAGAGAGGAUGUAGGGGGGGAGAGAGAGACAGAAGAGAGGAUGUAGGGGGGAGAGACAGACAGGGGAGAGUGAGACAGAAGAGAGGAUGUAGGGGGAGAGAGAGAGACAGGGGAGAGUGAGACAGAAGAGAGGAUGUAGGGGGAGAGUGAGACAGAAGAGAGGAUGUAGGGGGGGAGAGAGAGACAGGGGAGAGUGAGACAGAAGAGAGGAUGUAGGGGGAGAGUGAGACAGAAGAGAGGAUGUAGGGGGGGGGAGAGAGAGACAGGGGAGAGUGAGACAGAAGAGAGGAUGUAGGGGGAGAGAGAGAGACAGGGGAGAGUGAGACAGAAGAGAGGAUGUAGGGGGAGAGUGAGACAGAAGAGAGGAUGUAGGGGGAGAGUGAGACAGAAGAGAGGAUGUAGGGGGAGAGUGAGACAGAAGAGAGGAUGUAGGGGGGGAGUGAGACAGAAGAGAGGAUGUAGGGGGGGAGAGAGAGACAGGGGAGAGUGAGACAGAAGAGAGGAUGUAGGGGGAGAGUGAGACAGAAGAGAGGAUGUAGGGGGGGAGAGAGAGACAGGGGAGAGUGAGACAGAAGAGAGGAUGUAGGGGGAGAGUGAGACAGAAGAGAGGAUGUAGGGGGGGAGAGAGAGACAGGGGAGAGUGAGACAGAAGAGAGGAUGUAGGGGGAGAGUGAGACAGAAGAGAGGAUGUAGGGGGAGAGUGAGACAGAAGAGAGGAUGUAGGGGGGGAGAGAGAGACAGAGGGAGUUUCACAGUGCUGUUUUGCAACGCUGUAAUUUCUCUUUUUCGUGUCAUACUCUGGAAGGUCUGGACCGAAAUAACGCAAUGCAGAUACACGUCCUGCUGUGACCUUACAGGAAUACACACACGUGUGCACACACACACACACACACACACACACACACACACACACACACACACUCACAC